UAAGGUGCAGAAUUUUGUAGACUGGUA
This 27-nucleotide non-coding RNA is filed under the name Bombyx mori (domestic silkworm). Lineage: Eukaryota; Metazoa; Arthropoda; Insecta; Lepidoptera; Bombycidae. The record is from RNAcentral.